Molecule: ribosomal RNA, 269 nt
Filed under: uncultured archaeon
Lineage: Archaea
Description: partial 16S ribosomal RNA
Rfam family: Archaeal small subunit ribosomal RNA
Source: RNAcentral
AGUCACUGACAUUAGAUACCCGCGUAGUCCAGGGUGUAAACGCUGCAGACUUGGUGUUGGAAAAUCCCUUCGAGGGUAGUUCCAGUGCCGGAGAGAAGUUGUUAAGUCUGCGUACUUGGGAGUACGUCCGCAAGGAUGAAACUUAAAGGAAUUGGCGGGGAGCACCGCAACGGGAGGAGCGUGCGGUUUAAUUGGAUUCAACACCGGAAAACUCACCAGGGGACGACUGUUACAUGAAACCCAGACUAAUGAUCUUGGUUGAUUUUCAG